GGCUGAAAUUCGCCUUCAUGAAGUCGGAAUUGCUAGUAAUGGCAGGUCAGCAUACUGCCGUGAAUACGUUCCCGGGCCCUUGUACACACCGCCCGUCACACCAUGAGAGUUGGAGAUACCCGAAGCCUGUGAGCUAACAGAAAUGGAGCAGCAGUCGAAGGUAGAAUCAAUGAUUGGGGUGAAGUCGUAACAAGGUAAC
RNAcentral lists this ribosomal RNA (199 nucleotides) under uncultured bacterium. RNAcentral describes it as "partial 16S ribosomal RNA". It matches the Rfam family "Bacterial small subunit ribosomal RNA", at positions 1303 to 1500 of the family's 1533-position model. The record is from RNAcentral.